UACGUAGGGUGCAAGCGUUGUCCGGAAUUAUUGGGCGUAAAGAGCUCGUAGGCGGUCUGUCGCGUCGGCUGUGAAAACCUGGGGCUCAACUCCGGGCCUGCAGCCGAUACGGGCAGACUAGAGUUCGGUAGGGGAGUCUGGAAUUCCUGGUGUAGCGGUGAAAUGCGCAGAUAUCAGGAGGAACACCGGUGGCGAAGGCGGGACUCUGGGCCGAUACUGACGCUGAGGCGCGACAGCGUGGGGAGCAAACAGG
This 253-nucleotide ribosomal RNA is filed under the name uncultured bacterium. RNAcentral describes it as "partial 16S ribosomal RNA". It matches the Rfam family "Bacterial small subunit ribosomal RNA", at positions 524 to 776 of the family's 1533-position model. The record is from RNAcentral.